Long non-coding RNA from Humulus lupulus (European hop), 569 nucleotides. RefSeq lists it as uncharacterized. The record is from RefSeq and is a predicted model, not a curated record. The transcript is spliced from 3 exons. Lineage: Eukaryota; Viridiplantae; Streptophyta; Magnoliopsida; Rosales; Cannabaceae.
UAUAGAAAAGAUGGGUAACUCUGCUGCUGUGGUUCUUUGCAUUAUUUCUAGGGGAAUUCCAUUCCAAGAGCCAGAAAAUCAUUUAAUGAAAGACACAAUAGGAGUGGUUGCUCUACUUGGAAGAGUUCGACCUCAUUGCAGCCAGCUGAGCAGGAUACUGUCAGAAUACUUGGGUGCAGAUCAAAUGCUUGCUGUUGUCGUUAGAUCUUUCGAAACUGUUGUUCUUCUAGAAAGGUAUAAACAAACUGGAGAAGUUGAUCGCAGCCAUGUUAUUCAUGAAGAAGCAGCCAUUCUUGGAAAAUCUAUAAAUGGUCGAUUUCUUGUUAUAUACUUUGACAAUAUAAGGUGACAUCCAAAGCUUCUUAACUACAAUUAAUUUAUUGACACAAGAUAAUCUCUCCUUUCUUAUCAAGUACAAAGUUGGAUCAUCUUAGAAUAUGAAGAUUUACUCAGAGGACUAAUAUUCCUUAUUGUUUGGCAGUCCAUUCAGAGAUCUCUACAAAUUUUUAUUCUCCAAAUAUGAAUGUUGUCAAUGAGAACUUCCUCCCUCUGCUCAAACGCCUUGAUGA